UACGUAGGCAGCAAGCGUUGUUCGGAAUUACUGGGCGUAAAGAGUGUGUAGGCGGUGCUCUAAGUUCGGUGUGAAAUCUCCCGGCUCAACUGGGAGGGUGCGCUGAAAACUGGAGUGCUGGAGCGCGGGAGGGGAAAGCGGAAUUCCUGGUGUAGCGGUGAAAUGCGUAGAUAUCAGGAGGAACACCGGCGGUGUAGACGGCUUUCUGGACCGUAGCUGACGCUGAGACACGAAAGCGUGGGUAGCAAACAGG
RNAcentral lists this ribosomal RNA (253 nucleotides) under uncultured bacterium. Its description in RNAcentral is "partial 16S ribosomal RNA". It matches the Rfam family "Bacterial small subunit ribosomal RNA", at positions 524 to 776 of the family's 1533-position model. The record is from RNAcentral.